AACGAACGCUGGCGGCGUGCCUAACACAUGCAAGUCGAACGGGAUUAGGGGCUUGCUCCUAAUCUAGUGGCGCACGGGUGAGUAACGCGUAGAUAAUCUGCCUGAUGAUCUGGGAUAACACUUCGAAAGAGGUGCUAAUACCGGAUAAGCCCACGGGUUCUUUGGAAUCUGCGGGAAAAGGGGGGGACCUUCGGGCCUUCUGUCAUCAGAUGAGUCUGCGUACCAUUAGCUAGUUGGUAGGGUAAUGGCCUACCAAGGCGACGAUGGUUAGCUGGUCUGAGGGGAUGAUCAGCCACACUGGAACUGAGACACGGUCCAGACUCCUACGGGAGGUAGCAGUGGGGAAUUUUGCGCAAUGGGCGAAAGCCUGACGCAGCAACGCCGCGUGAGUGAUGAAGGCUUUCGGGUCGUAAAGCUCUGUCAAUGGGAAAGAAGUGUAUUGGAGCUAAUAUCUCCGAUACUUGACGGUACUCAUAAAGGAAGCACCGGCUAACUCCGUGCCAGCCGCCGCCGUAA
Molecule: ribosomal RNA, 516 nt
Filed under: uncultured bacterium
Lineage: Bacteria
Description: partial 16S ribosomal RNA
Rfam family: Bacterial small subunit ribosomal RNA
Source: RNAcentral